This 220-nucleotide long non-coding RNA is filed under the name Solanum tuberosum (potato). Its description in RNAcentral is "long non-coding RNA (STUB_LNC004876)". The record is from RNAcentral. Lineage: Eukaryota; Viridiplantae; Streptophyta; Magnoliopsida; Solanales; Solanaceae.
CCAAUUCAAUACGGAUAGAGUUUUUCAAAUCUUUUGUAGAUGGACCUUUACCUUCGGGAUAUCUAUCUUUGAAGUAUGCUCCAAUGACUUUUGCUGUGGCAUGUGGAUUAUGACUCGUAAGAUGUUCCGAGCCACAUGUAUGCAUCUUUUCAUACUUUUUAAUAUAAAAUCUAUCAGAAUUUUCAACUUUCACCGCUCUUAGCCACCACUUGCACUCAAG